AACCUAGCACACCUGCGGUGUGUACCUGCGGAGGGAUCAUUACACAAUACAAUAUGAAGGCUGUCCGCAGCUGGAGUAUUUUAUUACCCUUGUCUUUUGCGCACUUGUUGUUUCCUGGGCGGGUUCGCUCGCCACCAGGACCACCAAAUAAACCUUUUUUAUGCAGUUGCAAUCAGCGUCAGUACAAACAAUGUAAAUCAUUUACAACUUUCAACAACGGAUCUCAGAUCGGAAGAGCAC
This 240-nucleotide unclassified non-coding RNA is filed under the name soil metagenome. RNAcentral's name for it is "partial contains 5.8S ribosomal RNA, internal transcribed spacer 2, and large subunit ribosomal RNA". The record is from RNAcentral.